Molecule: non-coding RNA, 98 nt
Organism: Borealophlyctis nickersoniae
Lineage: Eukaryota; Fungi; Chytridiomycota; Chytridiomycetes; Rhizophlyctidales; Borealophlyctidaceae
Source: the annotation of a GenBank genome assembly
GGGCGGGUGGCCUAAUGGAGAAGGCGUUCGACUUCGGUUCACGUUCCAGGACGUGGGCAGACAUCGAAAGAUUGUGGGUUCGAGUCCCAUCCUGCUCG